This 1170-nucleotide ribosomal RNA is filed under the name Enterococcus sp. 971B12_12ESB. RNAcentral describes it as "bacterial SSU rRNA". It matches the Rfam family "Bacterial small subunit ribosomal RNA", at positions 53 to 1196 of the family's 1533-position model. The record is from RNAcentral. Lineage: Bacteria; Bacillati; Bacillota; Bacilli; Lactobacillales; Enterococcaceae.
ACAUGCAAGUCGAACGCUUUUUCUUUCACCGGAGCUUGCUCCACCGAAAGAAAAAGAGUGGCGAACGGGUGAGUAACACGUGGAUAACCUACCCUCAAGCGGGGGAUAACACUUGGAAACAGGUGCUAAUACCGCAUAACAAAGAAAACCGCAUGGUUUUCUUUUGAAAGGCGCUUUUGCGUCACUUGAGGAUGGAUCCGCGGUGCAUUAGCUAGUUGGUGAGGUAACGGCUCACCAAGGCAACGAUGCAUAGCCGACCUGAGAGGGUGAUCGGCCACAUUGGGACUGAGACACGGCCCAAACUCCUACGGGAGGCAGCAGUAGGGAAUCUUCGGCAAUGGACGAAAGUCUGACCGAGCAACGCCGCGUGAGUGAAGAAGGUUUUCGGAUCGUAAAACUCUGUUGUUAGAGAAGAACAAGGAUGAGAGUAAAAAGUUCAUCCCUUGACGGUAUCUAACCAGAAAGCCACGGCUAACUACGUGCCAGCAGCCGCGGUAAUACGUAGGUGGCAAGCGUUGUCCGGAUUUAUUGGGCGUAAAGCGAGCGCAGGCGGUUUCUUAAGUCUGAUGUGAAAGCCCCCGGCUCAACCGGGGAGGGUCAUUGGAAACUGGGAAACUUGAGUGCAGAAGAGGAGAGUGGAAUUCCAUGUGUAGCGGUGAAAUGCGUAGAUAUAUGGAGGAACACCAGUGGCGAAGGCGGCUCUCUGGUCUGUAACUGACGCUGAGGCUCGAAAGCGUGGGGAGCAAACAGGAUUAGAUACCCUGGUAGUCCACGCCGUAAACGAUGAGUGCUAAGUGUUGGAGGGUUUCCGCCCUUCAGUGCUGCAGCUAACGCAUUAAGCACUCCGCCUGGGGAGUACGACCGCAAGGUUGAAACUCAAAGGAAUUGACGGGGGCCCGCACAAGCGGUGGAGCAUGUGGUUUAAUUCGAAGCAACGCGAAGAACCUUACCAGGUCUUGACAUCCUUUGACCACUCUAGAGAUAGAGCUUCCCCUUCGGGGGCAAAGUGACAGGUGGUGCAUGGUUGUCGUCAGCUCGUGUCGUGAGAUGUUGGGUUAAGUCCCGCAACGAGCGCAACCCUUAUUGUUAGUUGCCAUCAUUUAGUUGGGCACUCUAGCAAGACUGCCGGUGACAAACCGGAGGAAGGUGGGGAUGACGUCAAAUCAUCAU